UACGUAGGGGGCUAGCGUUGUCCGGAAUCAUUGGGCGUAAAGCGCGUGUAGGCGGUCCGGUAAGUCCGCUGUGAAAGUCGGGGGCUCAACCCUCGGAUGCCGGUGGAUACUGUCGGGCUUGAGUACGGAAGAGGCGAGUGGAAUUCCUGGUGUAGCGGUGAAAUGCGCAGAUAUCAGGAGGAACACCAAUUGCGAAGGCAGCUCGCUGGGACGUUACUGACGCUGAGACGCGAAAGCGUGGGGAGCAAACAGA
RNAcentral lists this ribosomal RNA (253 nucleotides) under uncultured bacterium. RNAcentral's name for it is "partial 16S ribosomal RNA". It matches the Rfam family "Bacterial small subunit ribosomal RNA", at positions 524 to 776 of the family's 1533-position model. The record is from RNAcentral.